Cyprinus carpio (common carp) is the source of this 1932-nucleotide long non-coding RNA. The record is from Ensembl. NCBI's taxonomy places the organism in Eukaryota, Metazoa, Chordata, Actinopteri, Cypriniformes, Cyprinidae.
AUGACUGAUGAAUCUUCGGAUGCUACGGACUAUGAUGAUGCCAACUAUGUUCCAGAUUCAAGUGGCAACUCAUCUGACACAAGUUCUAAUAGUAGAGAUCUAAAAAUCAUAGACAAUCAUCUUCCCCACAAAGUGUUCAAGGAAAUAUCACUGGGGAUGGCUACAGCCCACAGUUCGGAUAGUACCAACAGUUCCUUGGAACAGAGAAGUUUUAGUUCCUCAAAGAUGAGCAGCGGCCAUUGUAGUUCAGGUAUAAUUUGCAGUGACAGUUCAUCAGAAAAGACAUCGCACAGCUCCAUAAAUGUCACUUCAUUGCCAAACACAGCAAAACGAAGCAAGUACAACAAGAAACAAUACUGUCUUUAUUGUAGUAAGGCCAUUUCUAAAUUGGCAAGACACCUCGAAUCCGCUCACAGUACACAGCCUGAUGUUGCAAAAGCUUUGAGUUUUAAUAAGAGAUCUCGCGAAAGAAAAGAUUUGUUACGCUCUCUUAAGAAGAGGGGAAACUUUAACCAUAAUGCCACAGUGGCAAGCAGUGGUGAUGGAGAAAUGGUUGCUUGUCGAAGACCCACUAGAGUCAGACAAUCUAAUGACUUCAGUCACUGCAAGUUUUGUCAAGGACUCUAUGCAAGAGAUUGUCUAUGGAGACAUGUCAGAAACUGCCCUCAGAAGUCUGUUGAGGUGGAGACUAGAGUUGGGCGAAAACGGAUCCACAUUGACCUACCAAAAGCUGAAACAGUUCAUGAAGCUGUUUGGAAGAUUGCUUGUGAAAUGAACCAGGAUGACAUUUCUUUAGUUGUAAGGAGUGAAAGCGACAUCCUUAGUCUUGGCGAGUCAAUGUACAAUGGCAGGAAACCAAAUGAGAAAAGAAAUGAUUACAUACGUCAAAAAAUGAGAGAGAUGGCAAGACUCUUGAUAGCUGCAAGAGCUACAACACCUUUGAAGACCACUGAAGACCUUGUUAUGCCCAGUAAUUUCCCCCACGUGAUACAAGCAGUGAGAUCUGUUGCUGGUUAUGACUUGGAUACCAACUCGUAUAAAACCCCAUCAUUGGCUUUAAAAUUGGGUCACAGUUUGGCUAAGGUUGCAGGCAUUGUGCAAUGCAAUGCCAUCAUUGCAAAUCGCAAUGUCAUCGCAGAGUCUGCCAAGCAAUUCGCCACUCUGUAUGAGAAAAGAUGGGCGGAAUCCAUUUCAAGUGCUGCACUGGGUACACUUCAUCAAGCCAAAUGGAAUAAACCACAUGUUUUACCCUUUACACAGGAUGUGCACCUGCUGCACAAGUUUCUUGCUACUGAGCGUGCUAAGUGCAUGAAGGACCUUGAGGAAGACCCCAACAUCAAAAGCUUUGGGAAUCUUGCACAAGUGACUUUGACGCAGGUGGUACUAUUUAACAGAAGACGGCAAGGGGAAGUUUCAAAAAUAGAACUCCAGGCUUUCACAUCCAGAAACCGUACUGAGUUGAAUCCUGACAUUAUGAUGGGCCUUACUGAGUUUGAGAGGAAGGUUGCAAAGUACUUUGACAGAGUUGAGAUUCGAGGCAAAAGGUCACGAAUGGUGCCCGUGCUUCUCACACCUGACAUGAUCGCUGCAAUGGACCUCCUCAUUAAAAACAGGAAUGAGUGUCAAGUCCACACAGAGAAUGUGUACUUGUUUGCACNCCCAGAGUCACUCACCUCAACAAGAUUGAGGAAACAAGUUGCCACUUUGUCAACAGUACUAAACUUGAAAGAAAAUGAAAUGGAUCAACUUGCUACCUUUCUAGGACAUGAUAUAAGGGUCCACAGGGAAUUCUAUCGGCUUCCAGAGAGUACACUGCAGCUUGCAAAAGUAAGCAAACUGUUGAUAGCAAUGGAAAAAGGAAGACUGUCUGACCUGCAAGGGAAAGGGCUGGAUGACAUUGAAAUCAAUCCUGAAGGUGAAGUUAAGUUUUAA